This 447-nucleotide ribosomal RNA is filed under the name uncultured bacterium. RNAcentral describes it as "SSU rRNA". It matches the Rfam family "Bacterial small subunit ribosomal RNA", at positions 26 to 518 of the family's 1533-position model. The record is from RNAcentral.
AGAACGAACGCUGGCGGCAGGCUUAACACAUGCAAGUCGAGCGCUUGUAGCAAUACAGGAGCGGCGGACGGGUGCGUAACGCGUGGGAACAUGCCCUUUGGUUUGGAAUAACUCAGGGAAACUUGAGCUAAUACCGGAUAAGCCCAGAGAUGGGGAAAGAUUUAUCGCCGAAGGAUUGGCCCGCGUCCGAUUAGCUAGUUGGUGAGGUAACGGCUCACCAAGGCGACGAUCGGUAGCUGGUCUGAGAGGAUGAUCAGCCACACUGGGACUGAGACACGGCCCAGACUCCUACGGGAGGCAGCAGUGGGGAAUAUUGGACAAUGGGCGCAAGCCUGAUCCAGCCAUGCCGCGUGAGUGAUGAAGGCCUUAGGGUUGUAAAGCUCUUUCGCCAGGGACGAUAAUGACGGUACCUGGAGAGAAGCCCGGCAACUUCGCGCCAGCAGCCGC